GUGAGGAAUAUUGGUCAAUGGGCGCAAGCCUGAACCAGCCAUCCCGCGUGCAGGAAGACGGCGCUAUGCGUUGUAAACUGCUUUUCCAGGGAGAGAAACUUGCGCACGUGUUGCGCAAUUGACGGUACCCUGGGAAUAAGCAUCGGCUAACUCCGUGCCAGCAGCCGCGGUAAUACGGAGGAUGCGAGCGUUAUCCGGAUUCAUUGGGUUUAAAGGGUGCGUAGGCGGACUAUUAAGUCAGUGGUGAAAUCCUGCAGCUUAACUGCAGAACUGCCAUUGAUACUGAUAGCCUUGAGUUUGGUUAAGGUAGGCGGAAUGUGUAAUGUAGCGGUGAAAUGCUUAGAUAUUACACAGAACACCAAUUGCGUAGGCAGCUUACUGAGCCGACACUGACGCUGAGGCACGAAAGCGUGGGGAGCAAACAGGAUUAGAUACCCCAGUAGUCC
Molecule: ribosomal RNA, 446 nt
Filed under: uncultured bacterium
Lineage: Bacteria
Description: partial 16S ribosomal RNA
Rfam family: Bacterial small subunit ribosomal RNA
Source: RNAcentral